Molecule: ribosomal RNA, 679 nt
Filed under: Streptococcus salivarius
Lineage: Bacteria; Bacillati; Bacillota; Bacilli; Lactobacillales; Streptococcaceae
Description: bacterial SSU rRNA
Rfam family: Bacterial small subunit ribosomal RNA
Source: RNAcentral
GCUCUUCUUGGAUGAGUUGCGAACGGGUGAGUAACGCGUAGGUAACCUGCCUUGUAGCGGGGGAUAACUAUUGGAAACGAUAGCUAAUACCGCAUAACAAUGGAUGACACAUGUCAUUUAUUUGAAAGGGGCAAUUGCUCCACUACAAGAUGGACCUGCGUUGUAUUAGCUAGUAGGUGAGGUAACGGCUCACCUAGGCGACGAUACAUAGCCGACCUGAGAGGGUGAUCGGCCACACUGGGACUGAGACACGGCCCAGACUCCUACGGGAGGCAGCAGUAGGGAAUCUUCGGCAAUGGGGGCAACCCUGACCGAGCAACGCCGCGUGAGUGAAGAAGGUUUUCGGAUCGUAAAGCUCUGUUGUAAGUCAAGAACGAGUGUGAGAGUGGAAAGUUCACACUGUGACGGUAGCUUACCAGGAAAGGGACGGCUAACUACGUGCCAGCAGCCGCGGUAAUACGUAGGUCCCGAGCGUUGUCCGGAUUUAUUGGGCGUAAAGCGAGCGCAGGCGGUUUGAUAAGUCUGAAGUUAAAGGCUGUGGCUCAACCAUAGUUCGCUUUGGAAACUGUCAAACUUGAGUGCAGAAGGGGAGAGUGGAAUUCCAUGUGUAGCGGUGAAAUGCGUAGAUAUAUGGAGGAACACCGGUGGCGAAAGCGGCUCUCUGGUCUGUAACUGACGC